GAUGAACGCUGGCGGCGUGCCUAAUACAUGCAAGUCGAGCGAACGGACGAGAAGCUUGCUUCUCUGAUGUUAGCGGCGGACGGGUGAGUAACACGUGGAUAACCUACCUAUAAGACUGGGAUAACUUCGGGAAACCGUAGCUAAUACCGGAUAAUAUUUUGAACCGCAUGGUUCAAAAGUGAAAGACGGUCUUGCUGUCACUUAUAGAUGGAUCCGCGCUGCAUUAGCUAGUUGGUAAGGUAACGGCUUACCAAGGCAACGAUGCAUAGCCGACCUGAGAGAGUGAUCGGCCACACUGGAACUGAGCCACGGUCCAGACUCCUACGGGAGGCAGCAGUAGGGAAUCUUCCGCAAUAGGCGAAAGCCUGACGGAGCAACGCCGCGUGAGUGAUGAAGGUCUUCGGAUCGUAAAACUCUGUUAUUAGGGAAGAACAUAUGUGUAAGUAACUGUGCACAUCUUGACGGUACCUAAUCAGAAAGCCACGGCUAACUACGUG
Molecule: ribosomal RNA, 497 nt
Filed under: uncultured bacterium
Lineage: Bacteria
Description: partial 16S ribosomal RNA
Rfam family: Bacterial small subunit ribosomal RNA
Source: RNAcentral